CGGAGGAUCCAGGCGUUAUCCGGAAUCAUUGGGUUAAAGGGUCCGUAGGCGGUUUAAUAAGUCAGUGGUGAAAGCCCAUCGCUCAACGGUGGAACGGCCAUUGAUACUGUUAAACUUGAAUUAUUAGGGAAGUAACUAGAAUAUGUAGUGUAGCGGUGAAAUGCUUAGAGAUUACAUGGAAUACCAAUUGCGAAGGCAGGUUACUACUAAUGGAUUGACGCUGAUGGACGAAAGCGUGGUAGCGAACAGGAUU
Molecule: ribosomal RNA, 253 nt
Filed under: uncultured bacterium
Lineage: Bacteria
Description: partial 16S ribosomal RNA
Rfam family: Bacterial small subunit ribosomal RNA
Source: RNAcentral